GACGAACGCUGGCGGCGUGCUUAACACAUGCAAGUCGAACGAAGAGCGAUGGAAGCUUGCUUCUAUCAAUCUUAGUGGCGAACGGGUGAGUAACGCGUAAUCAACCUGCCCUUCAGAGGGGGACAACAGUUGGAAACGACUGCUAAUACCGCAUACGAUCUAAUCUCGACAUCGAGGAUAGAUGAAAGGUGGCCUCUACAUGUAAGCUAUCACUGAAGGAGGGGAUUGCGUCUGAUUAGCUAGUUGGAGGGGUAACGGCCCACCAAGGCGAUGAUCAGUAGCCGGUCUGAGAGGAUGAACGGCCACAUUGGGACUGAGACACGGCCCAGACUCCUACGGGAGGCAGCAGUGGGGAAUCUUCCGCAAUGGACGAAAGUCUGACGGAGCAACGCCGCGUGAGUGAUGACGGCCUUCGGGUUGUAAAGCUCUGUUAAUCGGGACGAAAGGCCUUCUUGCGAAUAGUGAGAAGGAUUGACGGUACCGGAAUAGAAAGCCACGGCUAACUACGUG
Molecule: ribosomal RNA, 510 nt
Filed under: uncultured bacterium
Lineage: Bacteria
Description: partial 16S ribosomal RNA
Rfam family: Bacterial small subunit ribosomal RNA
Source: RNAcentral